UUUUUUUUUUUUUUGUAACGGAAGAGGGCACGAAAGAGGGCGUUUCCUCUUCGCGUCGGUGCUUCUUCCCCCAUCGGCUGCAGCAUUUAUUCUCCCAUCUUGGCAGCGUCGUUCCCUCUCCCUCUUCGUUUCCUACGGUUGGUCAUUUUCUUUCCCCUCUCUGCUGCAACAUCUCUCUCCAAUUUUCUUUCAUAUGAUGAUUUAAGGAGGCGGCGCUGCCCUACGAGCCCACUUCCUCUGCAACUCUAACGAGACCUCCGAGGACCUCAUGGACAAGGAAUACCCCUUCGCCUUCAUGCUCGCGAGUGCCUGGUUCGUCAUCACCAUUCUUGCCGAUUGCGUCGUCACGAUCAUGGUCGCGCGUGGGAUGAGGGUUGAGAGAUUUCAAAAAAGGGCAGAGAAGGAUCGGAGGUCAUGGUGAUGGAGGAGCAUUUCAAGAGAGCAAACUUGGUGCUAACAAUGGAAGCUUGAACCGGCAAUCAGAUGCGAGUUUCAAAUAUAUUAUGGUUACAAUUUGCGGCGAAAUAUAUCAAAUUUUCUUAUACCAAAAGCGAUUGAUUUGAUUACAUGUCAGAACGGAUCCAUUGUAUGGUUGGUGUGGAUGAUGCUAGGAUAUUCUCAUCAUCCUCUGGUUAGAAAUCAAAUUCUGGAUUAAGUGAUCCCAUUGAUUAUGUACAGAAUAGUUAAUAGAAGUUGGUUUUUUUGUGGAGGGGCUCAGCUAUUUGAUGACAAGGAGAAGCUGCACGGGUACUGAUUUUGUACAUUUUUUAUAACUUCAUUUCCGCUCUUUUUAAUUUCAUGGCCCUGUGCAUGACUAUAUUUUUUGUUUCUUCCACUUUAUUGUUGACCGGAGGCAAGUAAAUUAUGUGGUAAUA
Long non-coding RNA from Ananas comosus (pineapple), 875 nucleotides. RefSeq lists it as uncharacterized. The record is from RefSeq and is a predicted model, not a curated record. The transcript has 2 exons. Lineage: Eukaryota; Viridiplantae; Streptophyta; Magnoliopsida; Poales; Bromeliaceae.